UGGGGAAUAUUGGACAAUGGGCGAAAGCCUGAUCCAGCAAUGCCGCGUGAGUGAUGAAGGCCUUAGGGUUGUAAAGCUCUUUUACCCGGGAUGAUAAUGACAGUACCGGGAGAAUAAGCUCCGGCUAACUCCGUGCCAGCAGCCGCGGUAAUACGGAGGGAGCUAGCGUUGUUCGGAAUUACUGGGCGUAAAGCGCACGUAGGCGGCUUUGUAAGUUAGAGGUGAAAGCCUGGAGCUCAACUCCAGAAUUGCCUUUAAGACUGCAUCGCUUGAAUCCAGGAGAGGUGAGUGGAAUUCCGAGUGUAGAGGUGAAAUUCGUAGAUAUUCGGAAGAACACCAGUGGCGAAGGCGGCUCACUGGACUGGUAUUGACGCUGAGGUGCGAAAGCGUGGGGAGCAAACAGG
RNAcentral lists this ribosomal RNA (404 nucleotides) under Bacillota bacterium. RNAcentral describes it as "Firmicutes bacterium partial 16S ribosomal RNA". It matches the Rfam family "Bacterial small subunit ribosomal RNA", at positions 355 to 776 of the family's 1533-position model. Lineage: Bacteria; Bacillati; Bacillota. RNAcentral also lists the same sequence under 1 other name. The record is from RNAcentral.